Mirounga angustirostris (Northern elephant seal) is the source of this 741-nucleotide long non-coding RNA. RefSeq lists it as uncharacterized. NCBI's taxonomy places the organism in Eukaryota, Metazoa, Chordata, Mammalia, Carnivora, Phocidae. The record is from RefSeq and is a predicted model, not a curated record. The transcript is spliced from 2 exons.
GUUUGUUAAUAAAUGUGUUUUUGUGACCUGUGGGGCUCACUGAAAUGCAGGAUCUGGGGCAGAGGUCCCUCUUGCCCAAGAGAACCUGAUCAUAUGAAAACAAAUUCAAGAAGCAAGGAAUCAUCCAGAACUUUGGCAAGCGUUGGACAAGUUUUCCUUCAGUUUGACAAACAUGAGGCAAUGACAGUGCUAAACAGCUAAAGUUAAAUGUCAACCAGGAAACAGCCAGUGCUGGAUGGGCCACACCCCAACCAAAGCCUCAGAACGAAAGAUUUGCUGUUGUGUCCUCAGCUCCCAGAAUGGUGCCUUGAUCAAUAGCCACUGUAUGAAUGAAUCGAACAUCUUAAUAUUUAUUUGGGUUUAUCCAAGUCGGACUCCUGAUCAAGAAGACUUAUACCCUGCUCAACACCAGAAGUUUAUCUUUUCUUUCCUUGUAAUUCUUUUCAGGUUAUAAAAGUAACUUGGAAAUUUUGAAAAUUUAGAAACGCAGACAAUUUCCAGGGCCGACUGGGUGGCUCAGUCGGUUAAGCAGCUGACUCUUGAUUUCGGCUCAGGUUGUGAUCUCAGGGUCAUGAGAUCAAGCCCCAGACAUAGGGCUCUAUGCUCAGAGUGGAGUCUGCUUGCCCCUCUCCCUCUACCUGCCGCCCCCUGGCUCGCGUAUGUGCACUCUCUCUCUAAAAUAAAUAAAUAAAACUCUUAAAAAAAAAAAAAGAAAUAUAGAGAAUUUGGAAACAACAGAAA